ACGGGUGAGUAAUACAUCGGAACGUAUCCUGGAGUGGGGGAUAGCCCGGCGAAAGCCGGAUUAAUACCGCAUACGCUCUGAGGAGGAAAGCGGGGGACCUUCGGGCCUCGCGCUCAAGGGGCGGCCGAUGGCGGAUUAGGUAGUUGGUGGGGUAAAGGCCUACCAAGCCGACGAUCCGUAGCUGGUCUGAGAGGACGACCAGCCACACUGGGACUGAGACACGGCCCAGACUCCUACGGGAGGCAGCAGUGGGGAAUUUUGGACAAUGGGGGCAACCCUGAUCCAGCAAUGCCGCGUGUGUGAAGAAGGCCUUCGGGUUGUAAAGCACUUUUGUCCGGAAAGAAAUCAUCGGGGCCAAUACCCCUGGUGGAUGACGGUACCGGAAGAAUAAGCACCGGCUAACUACGUGCCAGCAGCCGCGGUAAUACGUAGGAUGCGAGCGUUAAUCGGAAUUACUGGGCGUAAAGCGUGCGCAGGCGGUGCUGUAAGACCGAUGUGAAAUCCCCGGGCUUAACCUGGGAACUGCAUUGGUGACUGCAGCGCUGGAGUAUGGCAGAGGGGGGUGGAAUUCCACGU
Molecule: ribosomal RNA, 576 nt
Filed under: uncultured bacterium
Lineage: Bacteria
Description: bacterial SSU rRNA
Rfam family: Bacterial small subunit ribosomal RNA
Source: RNAcentral